UACGUAGGGUGCAAGCGUUGUCCGGAAUUAUUGGGCGUAAAGAGCUCGUAGGCGGUUUGUCGCGUCUGCUGUGAAAACCCGAGGCUCAACCUCGGGCCUGCAGUGGGUACGGGCAGACUAGAGUGCGGUAGGGGAGAUUGGAAUUCCUGGUGUAGCGGUGGAAUGCGCAGAUAUCAGGAGGAACACCGGUGGCGAAGGCGGUUCUCUGGGCAUUACCUGACGCUGAGGAGCGAAAGCAUGGGGAGCGAACAGG
RNAcentral lists this ribosomal RNA (253 nucleotides) under uncultured bacterium. RNAcentral's name for it is "partial 16S ribosomal RNA". It matches the Rfam family "Bacterial small subunit ribosomal RNA", at positions 524 to 776 of the family's 1533-position model. The record is from RNAcentral.